UGGGGAAUAUUGGGCAAUGGGGGCAACCCUGACCCAGCGACGCCGCGUGAGGGAAGACGGCCUUCGGGUUGUAAACCUCUUUUGUACGGGAAGAAGGAUGUGACGGUACCGUGCGAAUAAGUCCCGGCUAACUACGUGCCAGCAGCCGCGGUAAUACGUAGGGGACGAGCGUUGUCCGGAAUUACUGGGCGUAAAGGGCGCGCAGGCUGUAGAUCAAGUCAGCUGUGAAAUGUCUGGGCUUAACCCGGGCAUGCGGUUGAAACUGAUGUACUGGAGUGCUGUAGAGGCAAGUGGAAUUCCCAGUGUAGCGGUGAAAUGCGUAGAUAUUGGGAAGAACACCGGUGGCGAAGGCGACUUGCUGGGCAGCAACUGACGCUGAGGCGCGAAAGCCAGGGGAGCAAACGG
Molecule: ribosomal RNA, 405 nt
Filed under: uncultured bacterium
Lineage: Bacteria
Description: bacterial SSU rRNA
Rfam family: Bacterial small subunit ribosomal RNA
Source: RNAcentral